Molecule: non-coding RNA, 829 nt
Filed under: Agnathotermes crassinasus
Lineage: Eukaryota; Metazoa; Arthropoda; Insecta; Blattodea; Termitidae
Source: RNAcentral
AGGAAGUUUUAUUCUUGCUUUUUCGUUCAUUUUUUGUUUGUUCUAUAUGUAAGCUUAUGCGUGAUUUAUGUUUUUAUAAUUCUAGAUGGGUUAUAGGUGGAAAGGUCUAUAAUGCUUGUAUUUCUCAUUAGUUAUUAUUAGUUGAUCAAGUGUCCUUGUAUCUAGCAAUGCAUUUUAGUUUCGGUUAAAUUUUGUGCCAGCAGCCGCGGUUAUACCUUGGAGGCGUUUGAACGUGUUUGGCAUUAAAGGUAGUUAUAUUGUUUAUUGAUUGAUUUUAUUUGAGUUAUUUUUAGGUGAAAUUUUUAUUGUUUGUGUUUGUCUAUUUUAUGUUUGGAGGCUAUGAAAUUUUAUUUUUAGACUAGGAUUAGAUACCCUAUUAUUUUAGAAUGUUAAUUUUUGUGCCUGAGUAGUAUUAGUUAUGUUCUUGAAACUUAAAGAAUUUGGCGGUAUUUCAUUCCGUUCAGAGGAAUCUGUCUCGUUAUCGAUAGUCCACGUUGGACCUUGCUUAGUUAGUUUGUGGUUUGUAUACCGCCGUUUAUUGAUUAUCUUUUUAGAGGGCAUAUUAAUUUUCUAGUAUCUUUAUUUUGAUGUAUUUCAGGUCAAGGUGCAGCUUGUUUCUAAGUGGAAUGAUGGAUUACUUUAUUAUUUGUGUUUGUGGAUUGUUGAUUUAAAUAUUGACAUGAAAUUGGAUUUGGUUGUAAUGAUUUGUAGAUUGUUAUUAUGAUAAUUGGUUCUGGGAUAUGCACACAUCGCCCGUCGCUCUCGUUUCUUGUUAUAAUGAGAUAAGUCGUAACAAAGUGGUUGUACCGGAAGGUGCGGCUGGAUUGAU